GGCGGCGCCGCUCUCCCACCUCCCGGGUGGGGGGGGCCCGGCCGGUGUCACGUGACCGCGUCGCCUGGCAGCGCCGUCGCCAUGGCAACGGCCGUACACAGGCCGCGGCCCGUCGCGCCGGCGGGAAGGGCGACGGGUUGCUUUCCAAUUCUCAGCUGAAAUAAAAAUGAAUUCAAGACAGAGAGAUUCACACACACAGAGGACUAUUCCCAAACCAAAAGCAUCCCUCCAUCUAACACAGCCUGAGAGAGGGCAAGGUAUGUGGUAUUUGCUGAGCCCGCUGCUGAGAAAAUGAAAACCAUGCUGGCCUCCCACAUCUUCAUGAUGGAUAACAGUUUACUUUCAAAGAAGCCAAGCCUAGCAUAGACAACGAGCAAAAGAAAGAGGCCAGGGUCUUCAGCCUGCUCAGAGCUGCAGAAGCCUGCAAUCGCCUUGAAAGCUGAGACUCCGCUGUCAGGAGCUGGGGGCGAAGGAAAUAAAUCAUCUGAUAUCCUGCCAGCAAACUGCUAUAGGCACUUUGAGACUGGAGGGGUUUCUCCUGCCCCAAAAGAGUAUUAAAAAAAAAAAAAAAGAGGCUGAUGACUUGGACAGGGUUCAGCCAUUACAGAAAGAAGAGAGGAAAGUGAGAAAACAUCUAUAUUCCUUUUUGUCUUUAUUCCCCUGGACUGCGGUGAAUCCACCGCUGACAGCUGUAACUUGGGAACUAGCAUCUAAGCCAACAUUUCCUCAGUGCACAGCACCCUGCUCUCCUUUACUUCAUCAUCUCACAUCGCUUUGGUGUUACAGAGGAGUCACGUAAAGGCAAUACUAGAAGAUGAGAGAGGUGGAAAAUUAAUUAGAAGACGCUGAAACUUUGAGGAACUCUCUAGAAUAAUUGAAGACAGCUGAUGGAUUGGGACGAGGGACCAGGAAUAGCCAGAUUUUUCAGCUACUGAGUUAAAAAAAAUGUUUCCAAACCUGUGCAACAGCUUCAGCUGCAGUAGAUGGGCCUUCAGUGCUUGCAGUGUGGAAGAGCCAAAGGAACGGGCACGUUGGCCACACGAGCUAGCCCAGGAUCUCUUACUAAUAUAAAUUCUGCGACUUGAUUGUGUUUGCUCUGGAAUUGCAUGCACAUAAAUCAAGCCAUAAUCAAAGCUUUACCCAUUUCGGUACCACCUGAUCAAUCAGAAAUAGGGAUUAUAUGGCGUUAAACCAAAAAUCGCAUACAAAAAUCGUUGUUCUGCAUAUAGAAGUUGUUCUCAGCUUAGCAUCUAAGUGAGAAACCUCAAAACCAUGAGCAGUUUUUCCUGACAGUGAGUCCUGGACCUUGCUAUGUUAAAACAGAAAUACCAGAAUGAUAUUUCUUCACACAGUCAUAACCAUCAUUUUCUUUGUCUGCUGUCUUGUAGCCAGCAGGUCGUGUACGCUUGUGUUUAGAUGUGUCCACAGAGGAAUCUAACCUGCAAAUAAAGAACUGCAACAGAAGUUGUGGUUUUG
Long non-coding RNA from Chroicocephalus ridibundus (black-headed gull), 1476 nucleotides. RefSeq lists it as uncharacterized. The transcript has 4 exons. The record is from RefSeq and is a predicted model, not a curated record. Lineage: Eukaryota; Metazoa; Chordata; Aves; Charadriiformes; Laridae.